Molecule: ribosomal RNA, 454 nt
Filed under: uncultured bacterium
Lineage: Bacteria
Description: bacterial SSU rRNA
Rfam family: Bacterial small subunit ribosomal RNA
Source: RNAcentral
UACGGGAGGCAGCAGGGGGAAUAUUGCACAAUGGGCGCAAGCCUGAUGCAGCCAUGCCGCGUGUAUGAAGAAGGCCUUCGGGUUGUAAAGUACUUUCAGUCGUGAGGAAGGUGUUAAGGUUAAUAACCUUAGCAAUUGACGUUAGCGACAGAAGAAGCACCGGCUAACUCCGUGCCAGCAGCCGCGGUAAUACGGAGGGUGCGAGCGUUAAUCGGAAUUACUGGGCGUAAAGGGCACGCAGGCGGUUAAUUAAGUUGGAUGUGAAAUCCCCGGGCUUAACCUGGGAAUGGCAUUCAAGACUGGUUAGCUAGAGUCUUGUAGAGGGGGUUAGAAUUCCAUGUGUAGCGGUGAAAUGCGUAGAGAUGUGGAGGAAUACCGGUGGCGAAGGCGGCCCCUGGACAAAGACUGACGCUCAUGUGCGAAAGCGUGGGGAGCAAACAGGGAUUUAGAUACC